UACGGAGGGUGCGAGCGUUGUCCGGAAUCACUGGGCGUAAAGGGCGCGUAGGCGGCCUGAUAAGUCGGGGGUGAAAUCCUGCGGCUUAACCGCAGGGCUGCCUUCUAAACUGUCAGGCUGGAGCACAGUAGAGGCAGGUGGAAUUCCCGGUGUAGCGGUGGAAUGCGUAGAGAUCGGGAAGAACAUCAGUGGCGAAGGCGGCCUGCUGGGCUGUUGCUGACGCUGAGGCGCGACAGCGUGGGGAGCAAACAGG
RNAcentral lists this ribosomal RNA (253 nucleotides) under uncultured bacterium. RNAcentral describes it as "partial 16S ribosomal RNA". It matches the Rfam family "Bacterial small subunit ribosomal RNA", at positions 524 to 776 of the family's 1533-position model. The record is from RNAcentral.